UAAGAUAUAAUGCAAUUUUCAAUGGUUUAUUGCUUGUUUAUCAAAGUUAUAUUAAUAAACACAAUCUCAUGCGCCUUUUUGCUUUCCCCCUGAAGUCCAGGCUCAUUUAUUUUGCCUUUUAUGGAGGUUUGUUGAGGAACCACGUGGUCCCUGAGGCAGGAAUGACUAUGGCCUGGUGUGAUCUGCUCUUCAUUAGCCAUUCAGAGCAGCCAUGAUGGCUGACUAGCAAGGAGUCCUUGAGUCUGUCCGACCUGAUGUUGAUGAACUCUUCACUCUGCAUCAUGGAGGUUGAACAUCCUGGUGCGUCAACCCAGUCCUGAUCCUCUGGUGUGAAUAAGGCAAGU
Molecule: long non-coding RNA, 344 nt
Organism: Neoarius graeffei (lesser salmon catfish)
Lineage: Eukaryota; Metazoa; Chordata; Actinopteri; Siluriformes; Ariidae
Exons: 3
Source: RefSeq, a predicted model, not a curated record